RNAcentral lists this ribosomal RNA (465 nucleotides) under Vreelandella stevensii. RNAcentral's name for it is "partial 16S ribosomal RNA". It matches the Rfam family "Bacterial small subunit ribosomal RNA", at positions 338 to 795 of the family's 1533-position model. The record is from RNAcentral. Lineage: Bacteria; Pseudomonadati; Pseudomonadota; Gammaproteobacteria; Oceanospirillales; Halomonadaceae.
CCUACGGGGGGCUGCAGUGGGGAAUAUUGGACAAUGGGGGGAACCCUGUUCCAGCCAUACCGCGUGUGUGAAGAAGGCCCUCGGGUUGUAAAGCACUUUCAGUGAGGAAGAACGCCUGGUGGUUAAUACCCAUCAGGAAAGACAUCACUCACAGAAGAAGCACCGGCUAACUCCGUGCCAGCAGCCGCGGUAAUACGGAGGGUGCGAGCGUUAAUCGGAAUUACUGGGCGUAAAGCGCGCGUAGGUGGCUUGAUAAGCCGGUUGUGAAAGCCCCGGGCUCAACCUGGGAACGGCAUCCGGAACUGGCAAGCUAGAGUGCAGGAGAGGAAGGUAGAAUUCCCGGUGUAGAGGUGAAAUGCGUAGAGAUCGGGAGGAAUACCAGUGGCGAAGGCGGCCUUCUGGACUGACACUGACACUGAGGUGCGAAAGCGUGGGUAGCAAACAGGAUUAGAUACCCCUGUAGUC